AUGAACGCUAGCUACAGGCUUAACACAUGCAAGUCGAGGGGAAACGGCAUCGAAAGCUUGCUUUUGAUGGGCGUCGACCGGCGCACGGGUGAGUAACGCGUAUCCAACCCGCCCAUCACUUGGGAAUAACCUUGCGAAAGUAAGACUAAUGCCCAAUGACAUCCCACGAAGGCAUCCGAAUGGGAUUAAAGAUUUAUCGGUGAUGGAUGGGGAUGCGUCUGAUUAGCUUGUUGGCGGGGUGACGGCCCACCAAGGCAACGAUCAGUAGGGGUUCUGAGAGGAAGGUCCCCCACAUUGGAACUGAGACACGGUCCAAACUCCUACGGGAGGCAGCAGUGAGGAAUAUUGGUCAAUGGGCGAGAGCCUGAACCAGCCAAGUAGCGUGCAGGAUGACGGCCCUAUGGGUUGUAAACUGCUUUUAUAAGGGAAUAAAGUGGGUCACGUGUGACUUUUUGCAUGUACCUUAUGAAUAAGGACCGGCUAAUUCCGUG
This 491-nucleotide ribosomal RNA is filed under the name uncultured bacterium. RNAcentral describes it as "partial 16S ribosomal RNA". It matches the Rfam family "Bacterial small subunit ribosomal RNA", at positions 29 to 507 of the family's 1533-position model. The record is from RNAcentral.